This 328-nucleotide unclassified non-coding RNA is filed under the name soil metagenome. RNAcentral describes it as "partial contains 5.8S ribosomal RNA, internal transcribed spacer 2, and large subunit ribosomal RNA". The stretch from base 1 to 120 matches the Rfam family "5.8S ribosomal RNA", at positions 35 to 154 of the family's 154-position model. The record is from RNAcentral.
GAUGAAGAACGUAGCGAAAUGCGAUAAGUAGUGUGAAUUGCAAAAUUCAGUGAAUCAUCGAAUCUUUGAACGCACAUUGCGCCCCUUGGUAUCCCGAGGGGCAUGCCUGUUCGAGCGUCAUUUCACCACUCAAGCCUGGCUUGGUGUUGGGCGACGUCCCCUUUGGGGACGCGCCUCGAAACGCUCGGCGGCGUGGCACCGGCUUUAAGCGUAGCAGAAUCUUUCGCUUUGGAAGUCGGGGCCCCGUCUGCCGGAAGACCUACUCGCAAGGUUGACCUCGGAUCAGGCAGGGAUACCCGCUGAACUUAAGCAUAUCAUAAGCGGAGGA